GACGAACGCUGGCGGCGUGCUUAACACAUGCAAGUCGAACGGAAAGGCCCUGCUUUUGUGGGGUGCUCGAGUGGCGAACGGGUGAGUAACACGUGAGUAACCUGCCCUUGACUUUGGGAUAACUUCAGGAAACUGGGGCUAAUACCGGAUAGGAGCUCCUGCUGCAUGGUGGGGGUUGGAAAGUUUCGGCGGUUGGGGAUGGACUCGCGGCUUAUCAGCUUGUUGGUGGGGUAGUGGCUUACCAAGGCUUUGACGGGUAGCCGGCCUGAGAGGGUGACCGGGCACAUUGGGACUGAGAUACGGCGCAGACGCCUACGGGAGGCAGCAGUGGGGAAUAUUGCACAAUGGGCGGAAGCCUGAUGCAGCAACGCCGCGUGCGGGAUGACGGCCUUCGGGUUGUAAACCGCUUUCGCCUGUGACGAAGCGUGGGUGACGGUAAUGGGUAAAGAAGCACCGGCUAACUACGUG
RNAcentral lists this ribosomal RNA (468 nucleotides) under uncultured bacterium. RNAcentral describes it as "partial 16S ribosomal RNA". It matches the Rfam family "Bacterial small subunit ribosomal RNA", at positions 28 to 507 of the family's 1533-position model. The record is from RNAcentral.